AUGUUGGCAUCCUACCUACUACAUAAAGCAUUUUUAAGUUACAUUGAUGCUGUGAAGGAAGUAUAUGAAAUGGACAAGUUCGAUGUACACAAAAGGAGACUAGAUGGUGAACUGAAAGGGGUUCCUGCCAUCGCAACAAUAAAAGCAUAUAUGCAGUAUGUUGUCCGACAAGGUGGCAUUGACGCGAAGCAUAAAGCAAUGAACAUGGCUCAGUACGCUCAGAAAAAGUUGGAUUUAGCAGAUGAGCUGAAGUUGGACAAAGAGGGUGGAGUUGUUCCAUUGGAAAGACCCUUCGAGUUCUGA
This 303-nucleotide ribosomal RNA is filed under the name Triticum aestivum (bread wheat). RNAcentral's name for it is "partial small subunit ribosomal RNA". Lineage: Eukaryota; Viridiplantae; Streptophyta; Magnoliopsida; Poales; Poaceae. The record is from RNAcentral.